AAGUGGAAGUGGCUGAGUGUCAGUGAUAUUCCCCCAGAAUGUAUUUUUCUUACCUCGGCAUGUACUGUAGUCACUUGAUAUUUGUAUAUGUUGCUAGAAUUUAGGCUGUUGAAAAUAGUGAGAUUCUAAUGUGUUUUUAAUAAAUUAUAUGUGUGUGUCUUGCUCAGAUUUUUUUGGAUUAAAUAAAACAACCUUGACAUCAUAGUCCAGAAAAUGCCAAAUUUCUCAAAGUUGACAACAGUCACAUUUUAUGACCAGUAUUAUAGUGGGUAUAGAUAGCAUCAUUGGUCCCCCUGCCACUGUCCCUGCCGGCAACUCCACAACCCUCAAGCCUACCUUAUGGAAGUGAAUCUGGGCAGCCCAGCUCUGUGUGGCUAUAGAGUAAAGGGGCACACCCCAUCAGCAUGGAGAGCCAGCCAGUGCCAGCGUCCCCAUCAGUUAGGUGCUGGACACUGCCAGCAUGAGCUACCCUCACUGUCAGACCCCUCCUAUUUACAGUUUGUCAGUAUUUCAUUUAUUCUUUUUCUGACAUUUCACUCUUUUUAUUUUACACACAAACUCUUUAGGGAGGAGGCAAAUUGAUUGCCAUUAUCACCAGCGUUUCCAAUAAUAACACUUCCUGUUUGCUCUCCUCCCAUUCUACCCCCUUUGGUUGUGUCUACUAACAGUUGAAAGGUGGAACUUGCCUCGCAGGCCACCAUUUGUUUGUGUUUCUUCAGAUUUUUCUCUCAUGUGCCUGAAAUGACCACUGAAUGUUUCACUGAAGGUGAAAUUUAGUCAUGUGAAAUAGGACAUUUUUUUCCCUAUACAAAUAAUAAAAAAAAAAGCU
RNAcentral lists this long non-coding RNA (829 nucleotides) under Mus musculus (house mouse). RNAcentral's name for it is "long non-coding RNA chr16:58468906-58469735". Lineage: Eukaryota; Metazoa; Chordata; Mammalia; Rodentia; Muridae. The record is from RNAcentral.